GUGCUCACUUGGGCAGCACAUAUACUAAAAUCAGAACAACACAGAGAAAAUUAGCAUGAGCUCUGCACAAGGAUGACUCGCAAAUUCGUAAAGCAGCGAUCAUAUUU
Vulpes vulpes (red fox) is the source of this 107-nucleotide small nuclear RNA. The record is from Ensembl. Lineage: Eukaryota; Metazoa; Chordata; Mammalia; Carnivora; Canidae.